AUUGAACGCUGGCGGCAUGCCUUACACAUGCAAGUCGAACGGCAGCGCGGGAGCAAUCCUGGCGGCGAGUGGCGAACGGGUGAGUAAUACAUCGGAACGUGCCCAAUCGUGGGGGAUAACGCAGCGAAAGCUGUGCUAAUACCGCAUACGAUCUACGGAUGAAAGCAGGGGAUCGCAAGACCUUGCGCGAAUGGAGCGGCCGAUGGCAGAUUAGGUAGUUGGUGAGGUAAAGGCUCACCAAGCCUUCGAUCUGUAGCUGGUCUGAGAGGACGACCAGCCACACUGGGACUGAGACACGGCCCAGACUCCUACGGGAGGCAGCAGUGGGGAAUUUUGGACAAUGGGCGAAAGCCUGAUCCAGCCAUGCCGCGUGCAGGAUGAAGGCCUUCGGGUUGUAAACUGCUUUUGUACGGAACGAAACGGCCUUUUCUAAUAAAGAGGGCUAAUGACGGUACCGUAAGAAUAAGCACCGGCUAACUACGUGCCAGCAGCCGCGGUAAUACGUAGGGUGCAAGCGUUAAUCGGAAUUACUGGGCGUAAAGCGUGCGCAGGCGGUUAUGUAAGACAGUUGUGAAAUCCCCGGGCUCAACCUGGGAACUGCAUCUGUGACUGCAUAGCUAGAGUACGGUAGAGGGGGAUGGAAUUCCGCGUGUAGCAGUGAAAUGCGUAGAUAUGCGGAGGAACACCGAUGGCGAAGGCAAUCCUCUGGACCUGUACUGACGCUCAUGCACGAAAGCGUGGGG
RNAcentral lists this ribosomal RNA (743 nucleotides) under Variovorax sp. SU1-3/23. RNAcentral's name for it is "bacterial SSU rRNA". It matches the Rfam family "Bacterial small subunit ribosomal RNA", at positions 28 to 766 of the family's 1533-position model. The record is from RNAcentral. Lineage: Bacteria; Pseudomonadati; Pseudomonadota; Betaproteobacteria; Burkholderiales; Comamonadaceae.